This is a non-coding RNA of Pelobates cultripes (western spadefoot toad), 220 nucleotides long. NCBI's taxonomy places the organism in Eukaryota, Metazoa, Chordata, Amphibia, Anura, Pelobatidae. The record is from the annotation of a GenBank genome assembly.
GAAUGGAUGCCCUAAAUACACUUAUUCCUGGCUGUUCGGCUGUCUGCACACCCCUCGUCCGUUUACCGAAUCAACUCUGUGUGGUCCCCUUGUUAACACCUCCUAAUCACGACCACCCCUGGCUGUUGACCACAAAUGAGCAAUUAGUUCAAGUACUUUAUCUAUGUGGCCGCCGUUCGUAUAAACGAAUCCACGUGCUCCAAGAAUUGGUGGCCAUUUU